AGCAUGCAGUUCAAAAGCUAAACCUCCCAUUGGAGAACAGAAAAUUUAAUGAGCUUUUAAUGGAAUGCAAUGCUCAGAGUAGUAAAUUAUUUGUUAGUUGACGAUGCAAUCAGCAUGCUGAUUAAGGUUGCUUGGUUUUUUACUAAACAUUAACUGAAUGAAAACGGGUAGUCCUUGUUCUGCUUGGGGGGCUUUAAGGAAGCAAAUGGACUUUCAGAACAGAGAUUGUCAAUAAAGAAAUAGGUUGACACAUGCCUUCUGGGAUUAUGGUUUGAAGAUUCUGUCACCAGAUGUUUUACAUUUGAUUCCACUGGAAAAAUACCGUGUGAUAAGUAACUUGCAUGAGAAGAUUAGUAUGCGCCCGACACAAGACUUCGCUGAAUGAAGGGUCAGAAGAAAGGAACUCUACCAAAAUGGAGGUCCCUUCUCUGGAAGAAGGGGACACUGAAAAUCAGUGAAGACAACAGAGUUGCUCAAUGUCACAUAGUUAGUAGUAAAGCUGACCCAGAACUCAGGUCUCCUAUUUCCCAGGCCACUGCUAUCCAAGACACCAAGCCACUGAAUUUCAAGAUUCCAACUCAGGGCCUGGUUUUGCAGA
Lontra canadensis (Northern American river otter) is the source of this 598-nucleotide long non-coding RNA. RefSeq lists it as uncharacterized. NCBI's taxonomy places the organism in Eukaryota, Metazoa, Chordata, Mammalia, Carnivora, Mustelidae. The record is from RefSeq and is a predicted model, not a curated record. The transcript has 3 exons.